Molecule: ribosomal RNA, 516 nt
Filed under: Triticum aestivum (bread wheat)
Lineage: Eukaryota; Viridiplantae; Streptophyta; Magnoliopsida; Poales; Poaceae
Description: partial small subunit ribosomal RNA
Source: RNAcentral
AGAGGACCAUUUGUAAUUAAAACAGAUCACAAGAGUUUAUGCAACUUGGAAGACCAAGUACUUCACACUGAAUUGCAGAAAAAAGCAAUGGCAAAACUGGCAGGCCUACAAUUUAAAUUUCAGUACAAAAAGGGCACAGAGAACAAGGCAGCUGAUGCUUUAUCCAGAAUUGGACAUGUCUUUGCUGUGCAAGCAGUGUCCACUGCUCAACCAGUUUGGGUGCAAGAAGUGGCAAACUCUUAUGCAGUGGAUACCAGAGCACAAGAAUUACUAACAAAAUUAGCUAUAACACCUGAGGCUGAACCUGGAUUUGCACUGUCACAAGGUCUCAUCAGAUUUAAAGGAAGAAUUUGGAUUGGAGCUAAUGCUGGACUGCACACCAGGUUAAUUGAGGCCUUUCAUGCAUCUCCUAUUGGGGGACACAGUGGAAUUCAAGCUACUUAUCAGAGAGUAAAGAAGUUAUUUCACUGGAAUGGCAUUAAACAAGAUGUGCAAAAUUUUGUACAACAAUGCUAG